This 845-nucleotide ribosomal RNA is filed under the name Rhodococcus sp. 83NP14. Its description in RNAcentral is "bacterial SSU rRNA". It matches the Rfam family "Bacterial small subunit ribosomal RNA", at positions 91 to 948 of the family's 1533-position model. The record is from RNAcentral. Lineage: Bacteria; Bacillati; Actinomycetota; Actinomycetes; Mycobacteriales; Nocardiaceae.
CCGAGCGGCGAACGGGUGAGUAACACGUGGGUGAUCUGCCCUGCACUCUGGGAUAAGCUUGGGAAACUGGGUCUAAUACCGGAUAUGACCACAGCAUGCAUGUGUUGUGGUGGAAAGAUUUAUCGGUGCAGGAUGGGCCCGCGGCCUAUCAGCUUGUUGGUGGGGUAAUGGCCUACCAAGGCGACGACGGGUAGCCGACCUGAGAGGGUGACCGGCCACACUGGGACUGAGACACGGCCCAGACUCCUACGGGAGGCAGCAGUGGGGAAUAUUGCACAAUGGGCGGAAGCCUGAUGCAGCGACGCCGCGUGAGGGAUGAAGGCCUUCGGGUUGUAAACCUCUUUCAGCAGGGACGAAGCGUGAGUGACGGUACCUGCAGAAGAAGCACCGGCUAACUACGUGCCAGCAGCCGCGGUAAUACGUAGGGUGCGAGCGUUGUCCGGAAUUACUGGGCGUAAAGAGUUCGUAGGCGGUUUGUCGCGUCGUUUGUGAAAACCCGGGGCUCAACUUCGGGCUUGCAGGCGAUACGGGCAGACUUGAGUGUUUCAGGGGAGACUGGAAUUCCUGGUGUAGCGGUGAAAUGCGCAGAUAUCAGGAGGAACACCGGUGGCGAAGGCGGGUCUCUGGGAAACAACUGACGCUGAGGAACGAAAGCGUGGGUAGCAAACAGGAUUAGAUACCCUGGUAGUCCACGCCGUAAACGGUGGGCGCUAGGUGUGGGUUCCUUCCACGGGAUCUGUGCCGUAGCUAACGCAUUAAGCGCCCCGCCUGGGGAGUACGGCCGCAAGGCUAAAACUCAAAGGAAUUGACGGGGGGCCCGCACAAGCGGCGGAGCAUGUGGAUUA